Pseudophryne corroboree (corroboree frog) is the source of this 2967-nucleotide long non-coding RNA. RefSeq lists it as uncharacterized. The transcript has 3 exons. NCBI's taxonomy places the organism in Eukaryota, Metazoa, Chordata, Amphibia, Anura, Myobatrachidae. The record is from RefSeq and is a predicted model, not a curated record.
UUGUAGGUAGAAUUGCAGACCGUGGCAUAUGUUCAGGAACAGGCUUGAAAUGAAUCUGUAAUAUAUCCCUGAUGUAUCUGCUUAGCAAAUAUAUCCUGAUUAACCCAUUUGCACCUGGCUGUUCCAAAAACACUUUCCAGGAUAUCUUCAUGGCAGAGAUCUCCCUUAGGAAUUAAGGUCUGCAUAUCACAUCAUUAAAUCCACAUCAUAUGGACAGCUAAAUACCUGGAUGUGCACAUCCCAAUGUGAUAAUUCCACUGGGACUAAACUCCAUUACUCAAUCAAGUGCUCUGUAAUAUGUGCUGAAGUCCUAAAUGUUGUUCCCCCCGAUGACUGGGUCUGUUCGCAAAAAGCUCUACUGUAUAUUAUAAUGUCUAUCUAGCCACUCUCAGAAGAUACUUCUUGAAAUGCAACGACUCUUCUGCCUAAGGUGCUGUUGCCAUCUAUGCAAGGACUGAAUUAUAUACAGACGGAUUUCUUCACUAUUUAAUCAAGUAUAAGAAGAACAAAAAUAUUUAAAAGAAAAAUAAUGCCAAAUGUGGCAAGGAAACAGUUCUUAUGCAGAAAAGAACAUUUUAGUGCUAUAUUUUCUAGAAGAAGAAACACUGCGACAACCAGUGGAACGGUUCGCUAUGUCAUGGGCUCCCGAGGAGCUGAACUCGGCGGGAGCAGCGAGUGGAACACAUGAUCAAAGCCCAAGGCUAAGAGUAGAUGAGCCGCCCGCUGAGAGUGGGAUGUCAAAGAGAACGGGUCGUACUAUUGAACACAAAGAACCUCAGACCGGCACUGGGAGUCGGAUCCGCCCCUGUGAAGAAGUCUUCCCCUCCAUCAUCAGCAAAGUGGUUUGAUGUCCCUACAAAGUUGGCCCUAGCUCGCAUGGCAAAAGAGGGGGAGGAGGAGAUGAAGAGAAAAGAGGAUCUUAUUAUAGCACAUAAAGUAGACGAUGGAAGUUCUGAAAUAAAUUGGCUUGGUUGGGUUAAGGCGGGGAUAAUGAGCUCCUCUCUACAAGAAACAGACACUUGACAAGUCGACUGCCUAACCAAGCACUAUCCACUGAAAGAGCAGAGAAAUACCCUCGCCCAGCAUAUAGAACACAAUAAAUAAAAGAUGUACAGUAGUGACUGUGUAAAAGAUAAGCUUAUUAAAGAGAAUAGGUGACAAUAGCAUUACAAUGCUUCAGACUAACUUAUAAUACAACAUAUAUAUGUUGUACCUGCUCUGUUUUCAACUUGAGUUAGAGAGUUUAAAAUAAAACUAUCAUCACCAUCUAAAACCAUACUAAUACUUGUAAAAUAUUAAAUACAGUAUACUGCUAUUUAGCUGACGGGGUGGGGACACAGACUUUUAUGACUGCUUUCUUCCCUAGCCAAAGCUAAUGUUGUAGGGACCACAAUGACUGCAGAAUUUGUCUCCUCUCUCCAUCAGAAAAUCAUGGGUAAGGAAGACCUAGUAGACGCAAAGAGGUUGAUGCGAGGUUUGUAAUAAAAUAAUUUAUGUUAAAAAGUUAAUAAUAUAUUUUAUGCUUGGAAUACUUAAGGUCACAUUACUCCUGAGAAACGAGCAAAGUUCCUUACAAAGAGCCAGAAUGAGGCUAAGAAUCCGCAGAAAAGUUUUGAAAUUUUGCCCACUUUACCCACAGCAACCAUGUCUUUAUACACAGGAACCCAGUCUGCCCUCUUAAGUUUCAGGGUGAUGACACUUAUUCAGGCUGCUUUGUAGGCAGUGCAAUUAUCAUGCCAGAAUGUUGUACUUGUUUGGCUAACAUUAGGGUUAAAUUAGAAAAGUUGGAGUAUGCCAUUCACUUAUUUUUAAAUCUGUGCAGUAAGGGAAAUGCAUAUUCCAAAAUGGCAUACAGAACUUUACCUAUAUAAGCAAAGCAGAUCCAUCUUAAUGCCCACUAACUGCUCAGGAAAUAAAACGUGAUCCACAAACUCCAACUUUUGAAUAUUUGCUUAUCUUAACAGUUUUUGUAAUGUAUGAACAAAAUCAGUAUAGCUUAAUCUUCUGCUUUGCUGGAAAAGUGUCUUUAAAUCUACUUCCAUGAAAUAAUUGUGCUCGGUAAAGAGAUUAUAGAACGUGCGUGCAAAGAAUGGAAUGUUUUAGUUAAUAUUUACAUGCUGAAUGGAUGGAAAGUGUACAAGUUUAAGAGUCAUUCACAAAUAUCUUAUAAGCACACAUUUGUGUCUGACAUCACCAAACUCUCUUGCACUUUUUGUAUUGGUAAUAGUGUUUAGAAUCCGGGCUCCAUUGUUGAAUUUUGAGAGAUUGACAAGACAGACGUGACAUAAAUAAGAAAUACAGAAAAGCAAAGUUUAUUGUCUUAAACAACAAGAAAAUAAAUGACAAACUAUUCUAAGCUAAAGUAGUUAUCUGUGGCCACAGUGCAUCAUUCACAGCAAUAUACUGUACUGUAAGUACUUCAUUAACUUGAUGGGAAAAAAAAAGAUUUAUGUUAUUUUAUUUAUUAUAAAAAUUCUAUAUACCAGGUCGCAGUAGCUAAAGUGAAAAUGCUUCUCGCAGGAACACAGGUCUGGGGAUUACUCGACAUCACUUCCUGUUCACCGAAACUAUGCACAGGAAAUACAUGAUAUACACUUGGCUUUCAAAACAUAUGAAUAUUUUAUUUCAUAUAUUUUCCCAGCCCCAUGCUGGAAUGUCUAGUCUUGAUUAAAGGGAUCAUUAUAGAACUUUGACAAACUAGACUAAAGCAAUUGCUAAGAAAUAACUACAAAUUACAAAGGAUAAACUUGGAAACCCAAAAAGUCUAAUAAUUCCUUUACUAUGAAUUUAUCAGUGAGCUAGUUCAUUUCAUAUUUUAUGUAAAGUAUAAGCUGGACAAACCUUUGAUAUUCUAAGGCUGGGUUAUCCAGUAGCAUUAAGACAAGUUGAGAGUCCCUAGAUGUAAAAUGAGACAUGUAACCAGUGCUUACUCUGGCUGUGUGUGUGGUGGAUGGAGAGGGGGAGUUA